AGUGAACGCUGGCGGCAGGCCUAACACAUGCAAGUCGAACGGCAGCACAGAGGGGCUUGCUCCUUGGGUGGCGAGUGGCGGACGGGUGAGGGAUACAUCGGAAUCUGCCUAUUUGUGGGGGAUAACGUAGGGAAACUUACGCUAAUACCGCAUACGACCUACGGGUGAAAGCGGAGGACCUUCGGGCUUCGCGCAGAUAGCUGAGCUGAUGUCGGAUUAGCUAGUUGGUGGGGCAAAGGCCCAACAAGGCGACGAUCCGUAGCUGGUCUGAGAGGAUGAUCAGCCACACUGGAACUGAGACACGGUCCAGACUCCUACGGGAGGCAGCAGUGGGGAAUAUUGGACAAUGGGCGCAAGCCUGAUCCAGCCAUGCCGCGUGGGAGAAGAAGGCCUUCGGGUUGUAAAGCCCUUUUGUUGGGAAAGAAAAGCAGCCGGUUAAUACCCGGUUGUUCUGACGGUACCCAAAGAAUAAGCACCGGCUAACUUCGUGCCAGCCGCCGCCGUAA
Molecule: ribosomal RNA, 506 nt
Filed under: uncultured bacterium
Lineage: Bacteria
Description: partial 16S ribosomal RNA
Rfam family: Bacterial small subunit ribosomal RNA
Source: RNAcentral